UGGGGAAUAUUGCACAAUGGGCGCAAGCCUGAUGCAGCCAUGCCGCGUGUAUGCAGAAGGCCUUCGGGUUGUAAAGUACUUUCAGCGGGGAGGAAGGUGUUGAGGUUAAUAACCUCAGCAAUUGACGUUACCCGCAGAAGAAGCACCGGCUAACUCCGUGCCAGCAGCCGCGGUAAUACGGAGGGUGCAAGCGUUAAUCGGAAUUACUGGGCGUAAAGCGCACGCAGGCGGUCUGUCAAGUCGGAUGUGAAAUCCCCGGGCUCAACCUGGGAACUGCAUUCGAAACUGGCAGGCUAGAGUCUUGUAGAGGGGGGUAGAAUUCCAGGUGUAGCGGUGAAAUGCGUAGAGAUCUGGAGGAAUACCGGUGGCGAAGGCGGCCCCCUGGACAAAGACUGACGCUCAGGUGCGAAAGCGUGGGGAGCAAACA
RNAcentral lists this ribosomal RNA (427 nucleotides) under uncultured bacterium. RNAcentral's name for it is "partial 16S ribosomal RNA". It matches the Rfam family "Bacterial small subunit ribosomal RNA", at positions 355 to 774 of the family's 1533-position model. The record is from RNAcentral.